RNAcentral lists this small RNA (402 nucleotides) under Arabidopsis thaliana (thale cress). Its description in RNAcentral is "ATSL209370". The record is from RNAcentral. Lineage: Eukaryota; Viridiplantae; Streptophyta; Magnoliopsida; Brassicales; Brassicaceae.
AUUUUUAAAUUGCAUUGUAAAAUCGAGUUUGUAAGAUUGAAAUUUGGUUUAAGGAAAUACUAAAUUAAUGUGAGUUACUAUUUAAACUUCAAAUAUCAUCAAUAAGAUAGAGUGUAUAGAGAGCAGAUAGUUAAGAUUACUCAUGUGUAUAGAAAAACUAAUCACAUAGUGAAUGGAUUAGCAAACUAUGCAGUUUAGUUACCGCUUAGUUUGCAUUUAUUUGAUGUUUGUGUGAUAGUUGUAAGUCUCACAUUGUUAGAGGAUACACAUGAGAUGUUGUUUUUACAAAGUGUUCGACUGUACUUUUAUGUUAUGAAUAAAUCAUAGAAUGCUUUUUGUUCCAUACACAUUAUAAAAAAGAAAGAUGGAGUGUAUAGAAUAACAAGAUAGUUUAUUAUGAUA